Molecule: long non-coding RNA, 2343 nt
Filed under: Homo sapiens (human)
Lineage: Eukaryota; Metazoa; Chordata; Mammalia; Primates; Hominidae
Description: non-protein coding lnc-RABAC1-2:1
Source: RNAcentral
UGCUGAGAUUACAGGCUUAAGCCACCACACCCGGCCUAUUUUAUUUCAUUUUAUUUUUGAGACAGGGUCUUACUCUGUUGCCCAAGCAGGAGUGAGGUAGCGCAAUCAUGGCUCACUGUGGCCUUGACCUCCCCGGGCUCAAGUCCCACCUAGGCCUCCUGGGACGUGCCACCAUGCCCAGCUAAUUUAUUUUGUUUUGUGUUGUUUUGAUAGAGACAGGGUCCCACUAUGUUGCCUAGGCUGAUCUCGAACUCCUGGGCUCAUCCACUUGCCAAUUUCUGGUGACAGUUUAGGUCUUGUUGUCUAUCUUGAUGUGCCAGACAUUACUCAUCCAUGUCAUGUUUGGGGUGACAGAGACUACUGGUCUUGCUUUCUAGUUUGGGGUGACAGUGACUGGGGUCCUUUUGUCCAGUUUGAGCUGACAGUGAUUGGGGUUCAGUUGUCCAUUUGGGGGAGGCAGAGACUGGGAUCAGUGGUCUAGUUUGGGGUGAUGAGACCAGAAGUCAAGGCCCGGCCUUGGGGUAACAGAGAUGGAGAUACAGUUUCCCAGUUCUGGGUGGCAGAGACUUCCUAGUUUGGGGGACAGAGACUUGGGGCAUAGUUGUGCAGCUGGAGGGAUGAGGCUGAGGGGUGCCUGUUUUGACUUGGGGCGGCAGGAGCUGUCAUUUCAGUCCUCUAGUCUGGGGCGCAGAGUCUAGGGUGCUGGUCCCUUCUAAACAUGGCUGAGCCUGAGAGUGCUGAUGCCUGAAUGUUCCUGGGACAACUGAGUCAAGGGUUUCCUGUACUCAGGUGUGGGGUCUCUGAGUGAGUGUGGCCAGCGGUGUGGAGCUUUGUGUGAAGGUCACUGAAGCUAGGAGUCUGGGUAUUUGGAAUGGAGGUGUCAAGAGGUCAGGGCCCCAGGACUCAGGACCCACUUGAGGAGUGCUUCAUGUCUAUGACAUGGAGGGCCAGUGUUUUCAAAGCACCUCCACACCUGUGGGUGGCAGUGAUAGAGACCCCUGGGGGAAGAUGGAGACUGAGGCUCUAAUGCCUGGCCUAGGGGUCGCUGUGGCUGGGGCACAGGUAACCUUGGGAUUUCUGGCCCUGGAGACCCAGCUGCCCUUUACUGGACACAAGAGGAUCCUGUGGGUCUAAAGCCUAGUCUGGACCGGGUGCAGUGGCUCACGCUUGUAAUCCCAGCACUUUGGGAGGCUGAGGCAGGUAGAUCGCCUGAGGUCAAGAGUUUAAGACCAGCCUGGCCAACAUGGUGAAACCCCAUCUCUACUAAAGAUACAAAAAUUAGCUGGGGUGUGGUGUGCGCCUAUAAUCCCAGCUACUUGGGAGGCUGAGGCAGGAGAUUCGCUUGAACCUGGGAGGUGGAGGUUGCAGUGAACCAACAUUGCGCCACUUGCUCUGGGCAACAGAGCGAGACUCCAUCUCCAAAAAAAAUAAAAUAAAAUAAAUAAAAAUAAACUAGCUGGGCUGUAGUCCCAGCUAGUCCCGCCAAGGUGGGAGGAUCCCUUGAGGGCAGGAGUUCAAGAGUAGCCUGGGCAACAUAGUGAGACCCCAUCUCUACAACAAAAAACAAAAAAAUUAGCUGGGCACAGUGGCAACUGCCUGCAGUCCCAGCUAUUCAGGAGGCUGAGGGAGGACCUCUUGAGCCCAGGAGUUUGAGGCUGCAGCGAGCCAUGAUUGCACCAUGAUUGCACUCCAGCCUGGGUGACAGAGCAAGACCCUAUCUCAAAAAAAAAAAACCCUAGUUUGGGGGCAAAUGGUUGGUUGUGGUAGUCAAGAUGCAUUGUUUAUGGGUGACUAACACUGAGGACUCAGAUUCUCACUUUGAGAAGAUGGAUGCUGGGGCUCAAGAUCCUGAAUUUGGGGUGCCUGGAGUUCCUCCUGCCCAGUUCUGGGCACGUGUGAGCCCUUGUUCCUGUUUUGGGACACCCAACACCCAGCUCUAGAUGUCUGCAGUUGUGUGGCUUCGUCACUGAGGCCGGGGAUGGGGGCUACUGACACCCACAUUAGUGACGACAGUGGGGGCCUACUGUCUAGAUUAGAAGUGACUUCCUGUGGCAUUUCACCUGUCAUGUUUGGGGUGAGUCAGUUCGGAGACUCAGGUGUCAAGUCUAGGGUGACUGGUUUUGAGGUUUAGCGGUGACCGAGGUUGGCAGCCCACAUGUUGAUUUGGGGGUCCUACUGAUUACCUUAGGGCUGACUGGUAAUCCCAGCUGCCCAGAUGUUGAGGUUGGGAUGACCAUCUGAGAGCCCGAACAUCAAUCUGGGGUGACAGCUGGGGCCCAGAUGUCCCUCAGCAGAUCCAGUGCCAAGCUGGGGUUGUGUCAUCAGAUGCCUCCUGGGGGUGUC